RNAcentral lists this transfer-messenger RNA (338 nucleotides) under Thauera sinica. It matches the Rfam family "Betaproteobacteria transfer-messenger RNA". From Rfam's summary of the family: Bacterial tmRNA, also known as 10Sa RNA or SsrA, is named for its dual tRNA and mRNA-like properties. The record is from RNAcentral. Lineage: Bacteria; Pseudomonadati; Pseudomonadota; Betaproteobacteria; Rhodocyclales; Zoogloeaceae.
GGACGCGAGGGCUUGAAAGCCGGCGGGUACGCCCCCACAAUGCAGGCAUGGUUGUAAUUCCGGCAAACCGGAGACGUUCUGGACGGGGGUUCGAUUCCCCCCAGCUCCACCAGAAGAAGGCACGGCGACAACGCUGCGUUUUCUUCUGAGGGGGCUGACCUGGUCUCGACAGGGCGGGCAAGGGUGAGCAGGCAACCCGAGAGGCGACGGACGUAAUCCGCGCAAAACCACAAACGCCAACGAUGAGCGUUUCGCACUGGCCGCCUAAGGCCGAUGCCGAGGCCGCUUGAGCCUUGUUACCAAAGAAAAGCCGGCGGGGACUUCGGUCCCCGUCGUCA